GCGGGGCAACCUGGCGGCGAGUGGCGAACGGGUGAUUAAUAUAUCAGAACGUACCCUGGAGUGGGGGAUAACGUAACGAAAGUUACGCUAAUACCGCAUACUAUCUAAGGAUGAAGGUGGGGGAUUCGCAAGAACCUCAUGCUCCUGGAGCGGCCGAUAUCUGAUUAGCUAGUUGGUGGGGUAAAGGCCUACCAAGGCAUCGAUCAGUAGCUGGUCUGAGAGGACGACCACCCACACUGGAACUGAGACACGGUCCACACUCCUACGGGAGGCAGCAGUGGGUAAUUUUGGACAAUGGGCGAAAGCCUGAUCCAGCACUGCCGCGUGAGUGAAGAACGCCUUCGGGUUGUAAAUCUCUUUUGUCAAGGAAGAAACGGUGAAAGCUAAUAUCUUUUGCUAAUGACGGUACCUGAAAAAUAAGCACCGGCUAACUACGUGCCAGCAGCCGCGGUAAUACGUAGGGUGCAAGCGUUAAUCAUAUUUACUGGGCGUAAAGCGUGCGCAGGCGGUUUUGUAAGUCUGUCGUGAAAUCCCCCGGGCCUCACCCUGUGAAUUGCGAUGGAGACUGCAAGGCUAUAGUCUGGCAG
This 587-nucleotide ribosomal RNA is filed under the name uncultured bacterium. RNAcentral describes it as "bacterial SSU rRNA". It matches the Rfam family "Bacterial small subunit ribosomal RNA", at positions 74 to 654 of the family's 1533-position model. The record is from RNAcentral.